GGACGCUUAGCUCAGUUGGCCAGAGCACCUGCUCGACACGCAGGGGGUCGGGGGUUCGAAUCCCUCAGCGUCCA
RNAcentral lists this transfer RNA (74 nucleotides) under Actinomycetes bacterium. RNAcentral describes it as "tRNA-Val". It matches the Rfam family "tRNA". From Rfam's summary of the family: Transfer RNA (tRNA) molecules are approximately 80 nucleotides in length. Their secondary structure includes four short double-helical elements and three loops (D, anti-codon, and T loops). The record is from RNAcentral. Lineage: Bacteria; Bacillati; Actinomycetota; Actinomycetes.